GGGCGUGGCCAAGCGGUAAGGCAACAGGUUUUGGUCCUGUUACUCGGAGGUUCGAAUCCUUCCGUCCCA
RNAcentral lists this transfer RNA (69 nucleotides) under Kadsura longipedunculata. Its description in RNAcentral is "tRNA-Arg". It matches the Rfam family "tRNA". Rfam says of the family: Transfer RNA (tRNA) molecules are approximately 80 nucleotides in length. Their secondary structure includes four short double-helical elements and three loops (D, anti-codon, and T loops). Lineage: Eukaryota; Viridiplantae; Streptophyta; Magnoliopsida; Austrobaileyales; Schisandraceae. The record is from RNAcentral.